Long non-coding RNA from Callorhinchus milii (elephant shark), 194 nucleotides. RefSeq lists it as uncharacterized. The transcript has 3 exons. NCBI's taxonomy places the organism in Eukaryota, Metazoa, Chordata, Chondrichthyes, Chimaeriformes, Callorhinchidae. The record is from RefSeq and is a predicted model, not a curated record.
UGUCCCCAAAGUGUGGCUUCUUACUGCGGAUCCUUUCUCCACCAUCAACUACAGAGUGAAUACUACAUACAGUUCCAGGAAUGUCAGCAAACACCACAGAAAGGAUUGACAGCAAUCUGUUUGGUCUGCAGAUGGAGGUAACCAGUAAACUGCUGCACGCAGAACUGCAAAGAUUGGUUGCAUUGGAGGAAGAA